Molecule: ribosomal RNA, 440 nt
Filed under: uncultured bacterium
Lineage: Bacteria
Description: bacterial SSU rRNA
Rfam family: Bacterial small subunit ribosomal RNA
Source: RNAcentral
CCUACGGGUGGCAGCAGUGGGGAAUUUUGGACAAUGGGCGCAAGCCUGAUCCAGCCAUUCCGCGUGCAGGAUGAAGGCCCUCGGGUUGUAAACUGCUUUUGUACGGAACGAAAAGGCUCUGGUUAAUACCCGGGGCUCAUGACGGUACCGUAAGAAUAAGCACCGGCUAACUACGUGCCAGCAGCCGCGGUAAUACGUAGGGUGCGAGCGUUAAUCGGAAUUACUGGGCGUAAAGCGUGCGCAGGCGGUGAUGUAAGACAGGUGUGAAAUCCCCGGGCUUAACCUGGGAACUGCAUUUGUGACUGCAUCGCUGGAGUGCGGCAGAGGGGGAUGGAAUUCCGCGUGUAGCAGUGAAAUGCGUAGAUAUGCGGAGGAACACCGAUGGCGAAGGCAAUCCCCUGGGCCUGCACUGACGCUCAUGCACGAAAGCGUGGGGAGCA